UAAGAAUAAAAUCUGUUGAAUGUUGCCUGU
Molecule: non-coding RNA, 30 nt
Filed under: Homo sapiens (human)
Lineage: Eukaryota; Metazoa; Chordata; Mammalia; Primates; Hominidae
Source: RNAcentral